UACGAAGGGUGCAAGCGUUAUUCGGAAUGACUGGGCGUAAAGGGUGUGUAGGCGGUAUGUUAAGCUUGCUGUUAAAUUCUCCGGCCUAACUGGAGACAUGCAGUGAGAACUGGCGUACUUGAGGGUGAGAGAGAGAAGUGGAAUUCCCGGUGUAGCGGUAAAAUGCGUAGAUCUCGGGAGGAACACCGAUGGCGAAGGCAGCUUCUUGGCUCAUACCUGACGCUGAGACACGAAAGCGUGGGGAGCAAACAGG
This 253-nucleotide ribosomal RNA is filed under the name uncultured bacterium. RNAcentral's name for it is "partial 16S ribosomal RNA". It matches the Rfam family "Bacterial small subunit ribosomal RNA", at positions 524 to 776 of the family's 1533-position model. The record is from RNAcentral.